UCUGGGGAGAACUGCAAUCACACACCUCUGUGAGUAGUUCAGACUUGGAUUUCUUGUCCGCAGGAGAGGCGCAGCCUGGUUUGCUGCAAUGCAACUGUCCUCAUUCAUGUACUUCAAGUCCUGACAUACUGGGACUACCAUCAUCGGCAAGUUCUUGUUACCCAACUCCUGCUGACAACAAGGGAACAGGCGCAAGUCAGCUCAGAAAAUGAACGACUAGAAGGCUGGGGUCACAAGUUGGAUUUGGAAGAAGCAGCUUUCAUGCAGAGAUGUGACUGGAAUAUGAAUACUAUUCCAGGGUUUCUUUACAGAUGAAACCAAUGAAGUGUCCUGAAGUCUAGUAACUACUCAAUACCAGCAACUUAUAUGACCCUCUGUGCUACUACUGCUGCUUUGAACCAAUUUAUUUAGUCAUUUGGACUUUAACUACUCAGAGGCAUUCCUUCCUGCUGCAACAGUAGGAAGGUGUGUUAUAAACCAUGCAGUCAUUUCCAUCCUGGAUUUCAUGAGGAGUUGUUCUUGUCUCAGAGGUGACUCAUUCAAAUAUCCUUCUACAGAUUCCAGGUACAACCUCAGCUCUGGCUUGAGAUCACACUGUUAAGCAAUGAGGUGACAAACUGGUUUCCUUUCUCAAGCUGAAUGUCACGUAACCGCCCAGGGGCCCGUUUUGGUGGCGGUAGCGUCCCUUGACUUUUCAAGGAGAGAUGUGCCUGUGCAACCCGUUCCCACCCUGUAUGCUUGGCAGGAGGAGACAAAACUGCUCAUUUCCAUCUGUGACAUUUCUCAGCCAGGAAGAAAGCCACAAGGCAUCAGACUGUAGGCUGAGAGGCAUCAGAGCAGCCUGACACAGCAGACACUGACAAAGAAACCUCCAAAAACCAUCAAGUGGAGAUGAAUUUCCAGGGCUACAGCAAGCCGAUAUGAAGGGUGAUGGUACCUUUCUACCCACCCAACAAGGUUUGUUACUCCUUGAUGGGGCAGCAGAUGAACAUAUCCAAGCCCAAAUGCUCUGCAGUUGAUAGAUCUACUUUAGUGAAGAGAACCCUGAUCAGUGAUGAGUAUUAUAGGAUAAUACAAGCUGCAUCAUUAAAAGAAGUCCAAAAGGCCCAAGGAGCAGUGCAGAGCAUCUGUUACCAACAAGAAAAUAGUGGUUGAAAAGCUGUUGUAAUUCCUGGCCCCGGGAGCCCGUCUGGAGGCACAGACUUCCCGAGGCAGAGGGGAGCUGGAGAACUUGGGAUGUUAAGCGAGAUCUCACCCCCCCCCGCAGAUUUACCAGGUCAGCUCAGUCCAGGCCAAAGGAGCGGGGUAAGGUCCUCAGCUCUACUCCAAGUUCAUUGCUCUACUCAUUGUGAAGAAGUAUUUAUAGUAGAUCAGGAUCUUGAACCGAGACUGGCCUACCAGCUGAAGCUGUAUGAACUAAAUCGUAUAUUCCCCAACUACAGACAAAACCAAUGGUCAAUUUUAGCCUAAUCAUCACUUCUGUCAGAGGAAAGAGAAACUCUUUGAGGUAAGUUCCCUUGGAUAUAAUUCUUUCUUUCCAGGUUAAAGAAAGGCUGCAGCUAAUACACAUCCUGAGUCGUAAUGUGGAUUUGCACCUUUCUGAUUAAAUAUAGCUGGUUCGUGUCCAAAGCAUCGCUUCUAUUCCUAAUGCUCACUUAUAUUGUUACAACUUCUACAUUAGUUGCAGGUGUGAAAUGCCAACUGAUCCACACUUCUCUUGCUGUCAGCAGGAGAAUAAUGUAUGUCAAAGGCCUGAUUCUCAGAGGUGAGGUCACCAGGAUCUCCAUUUGCACAUCUGCUUUGCUAAACACAAAACUCUGGAGAUUUGCAAAGCUCCAAUAUGCGCAAAACGGGAUGGGUUCACUGAGGGCCAUACAUAAGAAACUGUUUGUGCUUCUCAUUUAGUAGGCAGGUGACAGAGUUUUCCCUCUAUACAAGCUACUUGCUGUUUUACAACAGGCAGCAUUUUGUUAGUCUUCAUACGUGGAUACUUGUAUGUCCUAUAUUAAUAAGGAAAAAGGCUACACUUCUUCAUGUUACAUGAUACAAGAGAAGUCAGGAUACCAACAGGUUAAAAAAGAGCCUAAUACAUUAAGCAGCUUCAAAGAGAUGCUAAUAUUCAGUGUGUCCUUGCUUGGACUGUGCAGAUAUUGAGAUCAGGAGACUGCCUGAUCAGAGCUCCUGGAAGGACAAUGCUGCUGGAGCCUGCCUUACACAGAGGCAUCCAGAUUUGGUUUUGAGGGUUUCAAGAGAAGCAUUCAAAUAUUUCUACUUCCUGCUGUUAGUGGAUUUUUUUUCGUACCUUGGAAAAAGUCUUCUGAUUGUAACGUGUUUGCACUUGAUGCCUAGAUAAUGGUUCUUGCUCAGGGACCUCUACUACACAGUGUUUUCUGCCUUCUACAUUUUACGUGAGAUCAAAGACUAAUCAUAUAUAUAUAUAUAUGCCUAAUUCUUUCUUGAUUUCUGCUAAUCUAGAAUGUCCUUCAAUAUCUGCAAUAAAGAUUCCCAC
This is a long non-coding RNA of Gymnogyps californianus (California condor), 2509 nucleotides long. RefSeq lists it as uncharacterized. Lineage: Eukaryota; Metazoa; Chordata; Aves; Accipitriformes; Cathartidae. The record is from RefSeq and is a predicted model, not a curated record. The transcript is spliced from 5 exons.